Long non-coding RNA from Equus asinus (donkey), 2812 nucleotides. Lineage: Eukaryota; Metazoa; Chordata; Mammalia; Perissodactyla; Equidae. The record is from Ensembl.
CGUGGGUUUCAGACCAUGCUCCCGAAACCCCUGGACACUCAAGAGGGCCGGGCGCCCCAGCCAACGGCCCUGCCCGCACGCCCGCGGUCGCCGGCGAGAGGACGGGCCGCGCGGCCACAAACUGACGCCGUUCCUCGGCCCCACCCCACGCUGCGGCCGACGACAGGCGCGCACACUCCCGCCCCGCCGCGGGCGUCCGGCAGGCAUGCUUGCCUGAGGCGCGCACGCCGGCUGCGGAGUGCCGCCCCGCCCACCUGCCCACGCUGCGGCCCUGAUCGGACAGAGCGGUGCGGGUCACAUGGCUGAGCAAAGCGAGCUUCCGCCGGGAGCGGGAACUUGUCCCCGUUGGGGACGUUUGCUUUUUAUCAUUUCUUUCUACUUCUUCGUGUGUUUUUAGUGCGGAAGGCUGUCGCUGAGCUAACGUCCGUGCCCAUCUUCCUCUGUUUUGUAGGUGGGUCUCCGCCACAGCGUGGCUCAGUGAGCGCCGCUAGCUCCCCUGACCGGAACCGUGAACCGGCCGAGGCGGAGUGCGCGGACUUCGCCACUCGGCCGCCGCCCGGAGGACCCUGCUUUUUAUUUUUUAACUUUUUAAAAAUGUAUUUGUGCAGGAAGAUCGCCCUGAGCUCAGAGCCGUGCGAGGCCCCCUCUGGGCCGGGGCCGCUGGGCGAGGCCGCUGCUCUCGCGAGGCUGGCUCGUGGCGGCGCCUGGAGUGGGCGCGCCGGGCGCGCGGGCCGCUUGCCGUCAGGUUGUGGAGGGCGGGCCGCCCGGAUCAGGCCGGCCGAGGCGAGCGGGUCUGCGGCCUGCCCUGCGGGCUGGGCCGGCGCCCUUGUGUGCAGACGCGCGAGCGGCGCCCUGGCCGCCGGCGACAGAGCCCGGCUCCGGUGUGAUCCUGGGCGGCGGCGCGGAGGCUCCCGCCUCGUCCCCUCGGCAGCUGCGGUGCUGCGCCGGGGCACCUGCCGGGGCAGACCGGACGGCGGCCCCUCGCCCCGCCCCGAGCUGGGAGCCGCGCUCGGGAAGACUCCCAGGGAGACGUGCUGCGCCAGGAGGAGCUUUGUUCUAGGGAGCCUUCUGGAAGAUUAGCCCUGAGCUAACUUCUGCUGCCAAUCCUCCUCUUUUUGCUGAGGAAGACUGGCCCUGAGCUAACAUCCAUGCCCAUCUUCCUCUACUUUAUAUGUGGGACACCUGCCAUAGCAUGACUCGCCAAGUGGUGCCAUGUCCACAUCAGGGAUCUGAACCAGCGAACCUCAGGCCGCCAAAGUGGAACAUGCGAACUUAACCACGGUGCCACCAGGCUGGCCCCAAUACAGAUUUCUAUUACAUCCAGUUGAUUGAUGCUGUUGUUGAGUUCAACUACGUCAUUACAUAACCAUAUUUUACUACAACAAAAAUUCUCCACUAAUGUGAAAUGUUAGGUCAAGUUUCUGUACAAAAGUGAGUGUGGUAGGCAGAAUUCUACAACAGCCCCUUGAUCUCUGCUUGCUUUUGUUACACCCUUCAUCAUCCUCUCCCCUUGACAUUGGCCAGAUUGUGACUUGUUCUAGACAAUUGAAUAUGGUAAAGGUGAUGCAAUGGCACUCCAGUGAUGAGAUUUCCUUAUAUAAGAAAUGAAUUAAAUAUAUCUUUUCUCUUUUCUUGUAUUUCCUUUUGCAAGGAAGUGCUUUAGAAUAUCUGACCAUUCAGAUGAAAUUUUCCCCACCAACCUAUAGGCCAAGAGUCUAUGGCCUAUUAUCCAUCAUCAAAUAUAAUCAUUUAUUGUUGUUUUGUGUCUCCAGGUGAAAUAUUAUACUUAAAAUGUUAUAAUAUUUCAUGUAAAAUCUUCAGUGGUUGUAGAAACCUAGCAUUUUGAGCAUAAAAUAUUCUAUAUCUGCUUAUUAUGGUAUUAAGAAAUUAUUUGUAUUUUAUUACAUGUGAUAAUGGUAUUUUCAUUAUUUUUUCUGUUCAUCUGUUAGAUAUAGGUAGUAAAACUUCUACUAACUUAAUUAUAUAAUAUCUUAUCUUUAAUUUAAAAUACCACAAGAGGAUAUUUGGAGUUGAUAAUGAUAUCAAACCUGAAGUGAGUUUGCUCACCCCUGGCACAGCAAGCCAAUCUCUGACACGGGGUGUAGUGGAAGAAAGUGGGAAUUUUAUUAUUGUACAGCACUGAGCAAGGAGAGAGGGCAGCUAAUGCUGAAAUCCCAAACUCCUCGAGAAGCUGAAAGGAAGGAUUUUUAUUUGGGGGUUUACGUAGGGGAGGAGGAGCACAUGGCCUUGCUGGUCGGGGCUUUCCCACCAGCCUGUCUUUGGCCUUGAGACACUUGCAGAGAGGAGAGAGCCCGUGACCUUGCUGGUCAGCAGCUUUCCCACCAGCCUGUAUCUCUUUGCGAGGAGGAGAUAAUGAAUCCAGGUGCUUGUCCUUGGUGGUGUCUGUCUCUGUGGAGGAUGGUGGAUUCUGGAGCCAGGAAGCCAGGGAGUAAGCAGGGAAUUAGUGUUUUGGUUUUAACCCCAUAUAUGCUGGAUUUAAUGUAGGGAAACUGGUAUCAGGGUCAGUAUCAAUGUCAUCUGCAAUAAAAUACAGAUCUGCUUCUUCUUUUCCAGUUUGGAGGAUUUUCUUUGUUUUUCUUGUGUGAUUUCUGUAGCUAAUACCUCCAGUACAAUGUUGAAUAGAGUGGUACAACUGGAAAUUCUUGUCUUGUUCCCAAACUUACAGAGCCUCCAGCUGGAUAACCCCAUGAGGCCUGAACUAAAUGAAAUCACCUGUGAGAGGUGGUAGAGGCUGGUGCUUUUGCAGAAAGCAAGGCCAAGAAGAGAAGGACUGUGAUUGGGGAGGAUGCUG